UUGAAAUUUUGAAUAAAAAAUUUCACUCUGUUAUCUCUCUAAAGUGGUCAUGACACUUGAUUGUUUGAAGACAAUCAUCUCCACACUGGUGGAUGAGCACAAUUAGAAAAGCGCCGAAGCUUGAAUAAAAAUUCUCCUAAUUUAUUUUUAAUCAGAAGUUUGUGUUAUUAUACUUUCUAAGCUUGUAAAUCACAAGGAACUAACUCUCCUAAGUCUAGGUCCAAACUUUGAAAAUGAUCGACGACGAAUUAAUUUAUUAUUUGAUCAAUAAUUGUGUACUCACACAGAUUGCGCUUAAUAAUAACGCCUUUAUCAUCACCCAACAAAAUAUUAUUUGAGUGUUUGUUUGACAUUCAUCUGUCACAUUCUCACGUCCUUAAUAAAUAUUUAUUAGUGGCAUGAAUGCAAUUAAGAGGUGACUUUACCGAAAUCACAGCAGUAGCCAGGAUAAUAACGGAUUUACUUAAUUAAAAUUAACACUAAACUUUGACACGAUUUACUCUAUUUAUUCUCAAACCAACAAUAAAAAAAAACAAACAAAAUGUGACAAUUAAGUGGGGAAGAUGCAUGAAAUCACUCUCUCCACUCCUUCAGUGAAAUUUUUUCAGUCCGUUUCAACCGCUUUACGAGAUGGUUACGGUGAAAAAAUAUGCAAUUCUUCAACAAGUUGCUUGUUCUCAGCUAUUUCUGCAAUUUUCUCGGUGAAGGAUUCAAAUCACACGUCUGGAAAAUAUUCGCUUGAAUUAAUCAAUCCGUGGUCGAACUAAUAAACUUGUUUGUGUUCGAAUUUGUGCCAAUAAAGCGUCUUAUUGUGUUUUCUUUAAAACGUUACAGUUGUUGCAAAAUAUCAAAUCGAAAAUUGUAUGAAAUUGUGGGUAAAUAGAGCUUAAGUGAAUUGGA
RNA transcript from Tribolium castaneum (red flour beetle), 900 nucleotides. RefSeq lists it as uncharacterized. The record is from RefSeq and is a predicted model, not a curated record. The transcript is spliced from 2 exons. NCBI's taxonomy places the organism in Eukaryota, Metazoa, Arthropoda, Insecta, Coleoptera, Tenebrionidae.